GGGUUGUGAGGUUAAGCGACUAAGCGUACACGGUGGAUGCCCUGGCAGUCAGAGGCGAUGAAGGACGUGCUAAUCUGCGAUAAGCGUCGGUAAGGUGAUAUGAACCGUUAUAACCGGCGAUUUCCGAAUGGGGAAACCCAGUGUGAUUCGUCACACUAUCAUUACGUGAAUACAUAGCGUAAUGAAGCGAACCGGGGGAACUGAAACAUCUAAGUACCCCGAGGAAAAGAAAUCAACCGAGAUUCCCCCAGUAGCGGCGAGCGAACGGGGAGCAGCCCAGAGUCUGAAUCAGCUUGUGUGUUAGUGGAACGGUCUGGAAAGUCCGACGGUACAGGGUGAUAGUCCCGUACACCAAAAUGCACAGGUUGUGAACUCGAAGAGUAGGGCGGGACACGUGGUAUCCUGUCUGAAUAUGGGGGGACCAUCCUCCAAGGCUAAAUACUCCUGACUGACCGAUAGUGAACCAGUACCGUGAGGGAAAGGCGAAAAGAACCCCGGCGAGGGGAGUGAAAAAGAACCUGAAACCGUGUACGUACAAGCAGUGGGAGC
This 549-nucleotide ribosomal RNA is filed under the name Citrobacter freundii. RNAcentral describes it as "bacterial LSU rRNA". It matches the Rfam family "Bacterial large subunit ribosomal RNA", at positions 1 to 580 of the family's 2925-position model. The record is from RNAcentral. Lineage: Bacteria; Pseudomonadati; Pseudomonadota; Gammaproteobacteria; Enterobacterales; Enterobacteriaceae.